UACGUAGGGGGCGAGCGUUGUCCGGAAUGAUUGGGCGUAAAGGGCGCGUAGGCGGCCUGUUAAGUCUGGAGUGAAAGUCCUGUUUUCAAGAUGGGAAUUGCUUUGGAUACUGAUGGGCUUGAGUGCAGGAGAGGUUAUCGGAAUUCCCGGUGUAGCGGUGAAAUGCGUAGAGAUCGGGAGGAACACCAGUGGCGAAGGCGGGUAACUGGACUGCAACUGACGCUGAGGCGCGAAAGUGUGGGGAG
RNAcentral lists this ribosomal RNA (245 nucleotides) under uncultured Hydrogenibacillus sp. RNAcentral's name for it is "partial 16S ribosomal RNA". It matches the Rfam family "Bacterial small subunit ribosomal RNA", at positions 524 to 768 of the family's 1533-position model. Lineage: Bacteria; Bacillati; Bacillota; Bacilli; Thermicanales; Thermicanaceae. The record is from RNAcentral.